Molecule: ribosomal RNA, 465 nt
Filed under: uncultured bacterium
Lineage: Bacteria
Description: partial 16S ribosomal RNA
Rfam family: Bacterial small subunit ribosomal RNA
Source: RNAcentral
CCUACGGGUGGCAGCAGUGGGGAAUAUUGCGCAAUGGGCGAAAGCCUGACGCAGCGACGCCGCGUGAGGGAUGAAGGUCUUCGGAUCGUAAACCUCUGUCAGCAGGGAAGAACGGUCACUGUGCUAAUCAGCAGUGAAUUGACGGUACCUGCAAAGGAAGCACCGGCUAACUCCGUGCCAGCAGCCGCGGUAAUACGGAGGGUGCGAGCGUUAAUCGGAAAUACUGGGCGUAAAGCGCUCGUAGGCGGUAUGUCAAGUCAAGGGUGAAAUCCCCGCGCUCAACGUGGGAACUUCCUUUGAAACUGGCAAACUGGAGUGUGUGAGAGGAUAGUGGAAUUCCAGGUGUAGGAGUGAACUCCGUAGAUAUCUGGAGGAACAUCAGUGGCGAAGGCGACUAUCUGGCACAUAACUGACGCUGAGGAGCGAAAGCGUGGGUAGCAAACAGGAUUAGAUACCCCAGUAGUC